CCUACGGGUGGCAGCAGUGAGGAAUCUUGGUCAAUGGACGGAAGUCUGAACCAGCCAUGCCGCGUGCGGGAAGACGGCUCUAUGAGUUGUAAACUGCUUUUGUACAAGGGUAAACCUGAAGACGUGUAUUCCGCUGAAAGUACUGUACGAAUAAAGAUCGGCUAACUCCGUGCCAUCAGCCGCGGUAAUACGGAGGAUCCAAGCGUUAUCCGGAUUUAUUGGGUUUAAAGGGUGCGUAGGCGGAUUGAUAAGUUAGAGGUGGAAUGUCUGAGCUUAACUCGGGAACUGCCUCUAAUACUGUUGAUCUAGAGUGUAGAUGAGGUAGGCGGAAUGUAUGGUGUAGCGGGGAAAUGCUUAGAGAUCAGACAGAACACCGAUUGCGAAGGCAGCUUACUAAUCUAUAUCUGACGCUGAGGCACGAAAGCGUGGGGAGCGAACAGGAUUAGAUACCCUUGUAGUC
This 460-nucleotide ribosomal RNA is filed under the name uncultured bacterium. RNAcentral describes it as "partial 16S ribosomal RNA". It matches the Rfam family "Bacterial small subunit ribosomal RNA", at positions 338 to 795 of the family's 1533-position model. The record is from RNAcentral.